UACGGAGGGUGCAAGCGUUAUCCGGAUUCACUGGGUUUUAAGGGUGCGUAGGCGGGCAGGUAAGUCCGUGGUGAAAUCUCUGAGCUUAACUCAGAAACUGCCAUGGAUACUAUUUGUCUUGAAUAUUGUGGAGGUAAGCGGAAUAUGUCAUGUAGCGGUGAAAUGCUUAGAUAUGACAUAGAACACCGAUAGCGAAGGCAGCUUGCUACACAAUCAUUGACACUGAGGCACGAAAGCGUGGGGAUCAAACAGG
Molecule: ribosomal RNA, 253 nt
Filed under: uncultured bacterium
Lineage: Bacteria
Description: partial 16S ribosomal RNA
Rfam family: Bacterial small subunit ribosomal RNA
Source: RNAcentral